This 253-nucleotide ribosomal RNA is filed under the name uncultured bacterium. Its description in RNAcentral is "partial 16S ribosomal RNA". It matches the Rfam family "Bacterial small subunit ribosomal RNA", at positions 524 to 776 of the family's 1533-position model. The record is from RNAcentral.
UACGAAGGGGGCUAGCGUUGCUCGGAAUCACUGGGCCUAAAGGGUGCGUAGGCGGGUCUUUAAGUCAGGGGUGAAAUCCUGGAGCUCAACUCCAGAACUGCCUUUGAUACUGAAGAUCUUGAGUUCGGGAGAGGUGAGUGGAACUGCGAGUGUAGAGGUGAAAUUCGUAGAUAUUCGCAAGAACACCAGUGGCGAAGGCGGCUCACUGGCCCGAUACUGACGCUGAGGCACGAAAGCGUGGGGAGCAAACAGG